Long non-coding RNA from Atta colombica, 860 nucleotides. RefSeq lists it as uncharacterized. The record is from RefSeq and is a predicted model, not a curated record. NCBI's taxonomy places the organism in Eukaryota, Metazoa, Arthropoda, Insecta, Hymenoptera, Formicidae. The transcript is spliced from 5 exons.
UAUGUAUUUAAUUAUUAAUUAAAGACAUUUUAAAAUUGGAAUAAUGCGUAUAUAGUCAGAGCCGGAUUGUAUAGGUUAAUUAUUUAUGAUUAAAUAACUAGAAAACCUGAAAAUGUCCAAACAAUUUUCUGAGUUGUCGAAACGUCAACGAAAUAGGCGAACUUUAUUACAAUUGGAACGAUUAAGGCAUCACAAUCGCAAUUAAAUAGUAAGCGUGCAUUCUUGCCAGACUAUCAACAAUAAACUCUACUUCGAAACAGAUCAACGAUUCGAAAAAUAUGAAAAAUAAUUAUCUCAUAUCACAACAGUGCCAUAUAUGUAUCUCCUAUUUGUAACUUUAUUUAAAUUUCUGUAGAAAAGCAACAAAAAUCUACGAUAAAAAUUCCCGGCAUCUCAUCUAUCAGCUCUGGGAAAGUCAAGUCAAUGUAUUAUCAUCAGGAGCGACACAAUGAACAUCACUUAUCUGAUAUACAAGGCGAAUGCAGAGAUUAUAUCCGUAAGGAAUUGAAAAGAUUGUUCAGACAAAUGUACGCUAUUGAAGCUUUAAAAGAGGGGAAUGCAGGAUGAAGUGAGAUUGUACAAGAUCUGUUACCUCCAUUGUCUCUAAUGACGCUGAAAGAGUUCUUGCAGUGCGAAAAUCAAUUGGAAGUGAAUAUCAAUAUGAGAAAAACAAUUUGAACAUAUGUUGAAUCGGAGGUUCGACGGAUAAGCAGUUUAUUAGAAAUAUUUUAUCACAAAUUAUCUCUAAUGAAGCCAAAUAUCAUGAACAAAUCAGAAGAGUGGUGUAAGAUUUAAAUCCACAUCCAUAAUCUGAACUAAUAAUCGAUAUUUCAAACUCGGUGAUGAAACGGUUACCAGGU